CAUCUCGGGGAUGAUCAGGGUGGACAGUGACAAAUUGAAAGCGGCGGUCAUAUACUCGACUCCCGCAGGUCCUAGCUUUUUCAGCAUCUGCAUGGAAAUUCCGUCUGGUCCUAACGCCUUGGAUGACUUGGCGUGGUUGACAGCUGCCUGCGUCUCUUCGGUGGUAAAGCACAGUGGUGUGUCUCGGGGGCGGAGUUUGUAAAUCUUGUUCCGA
Molecule: long non-coding RNA, 214 nt
Organism: Rhagoletis zephyria (snowberry fruit fly)
Lineage: Eukaryota; Metazoa; Arthropoda; Insecta; Diptera; Tephritidae
Source: RefSeq, a predicted model, not a curated record